AGCUUGCUACCUGACCUAGCGGCGGACGGGUGAGUAAUGCUUAGGAAUCUGCCUAUUAGUGGGGGACAACAUUCCGAAAGGAAUGCUAAUACCGCAUACGCCCUACGGGGGAAAGCAGGGGAUCUUCGGACCUUGCGCUAAUAGAUGAGCCUAAGUCAGAUUAGCUAGUUGGUGGGGUAAAGGCCUACCAAGGCGACGACCUGUAGCGGGUCUGAGAGGAUGAUCCGCCACACUGGGACUGAGACACGGCCCAGACUCCUACGGGAGGCAGCAGUGGGGAAUAUUGGACAAUGGGCGAAAGCCUGAUCCAGCCAUGCCGCGUGUGUGAAGAAGGCCUUUUGGUUGUAAAGCACUUUAAGCGAGGAGGAGGCUACUUGGAUUAAUACUCUAGGAUAGUGGACGUUACUCGCAGAAUAAGCACCGGCUAACUCUGUGCCAGCAGCCGCGGUAAUACAGAGGGUGCGAGCGUUAAUCGGAUUUACUGGGCGUAAAGCGUGCGUAGGCGGCUUCUUAAGUCGGAUGUGAAAUCCCUGAGCUUAACUUAGGAAUUGCAUUCGAUACUGGGAAGCUAGAGUAUGGGAGAGGAUGGUAGAAUUCCAGGUGUAGCGGUGAAAUGCGUAGAGAUCUGGAGGAAUACCGAUGGCGAAGGCAGCCAUCUGGCCUAAUACUGACGCUGAGGUACGAAAGCAUGGGGAGCAAACAGGAUUAGAUACCCUGGUAGUCCAUGCCGUAAACGAUGUCUACUAGCCGUUGGGGCCUUUGAGGCUUUAGUGGCGCAGCUAACGCGAUAAGUAGACCGCCUGGGGAGUACGGUCGCAAGACUAAAACUCAAAUGAAUUGACGGGGGCCCGCACAAGCGGUGGAGCAUGUGGUUUAAUUCGAUGCAACGCGAAGAACCUUACCUGGUCUUGACAUAGUAAGAACUUUCCAGAGAUGGAUUGGUGCCUUCGGGAACUUACAUACAGGUGCUGCAUGGCUGUCGUCAGCUCGUGUCGUGAGAUGUUGGGUUAAGUCCCGCAACGAGCGCAACCCUUUUCCUUAUUUGCCAGCGAGUAAUGUCGGGAACUUUAAGGAUACUGCCAGUGACAAACUGGAGGAAGGCGGGGACGACGUCAAGUCAUCAUGGCCCUUACGACCAGGGCUACACACGUGCUACAAUGGUCGGUACAAGGGGUUGCUACCUAGCGAUAGGAUGCUAAUCUCAAAAAGCCGAUCGUAGUCCGGAUUGGAGUCUGCAACUCGACUCCAUGAGGUCG
This 1256-nucleotide ribosomal RNA is filed under the name uncultured Acinetobacter sp. RNAcentral's name for it is "bacterial SSU rRNA". It matches the Rfam family "Bacterial small subunit ribosomal RNA", at positions 77 to 1328 of the family's 1533-position model. The record is from RNAcentral. Lineage: Bacteria; Pseudomonadati; Pseudomonadota; Gammaproteobacteria; Moraxellales; Moraxellaceae.